Molecule: ribosomal RNA, 158 nt
Filed under: Nosema sp.
Lineage: Eukaryota; Fungi; Microsporidia; Nosematidae
Description: partial small subunit ribosomal RNA
Source: RNAcentral
AUAUAUAUUUUACAUGAUAGUGGUGCAUGGCCGUUUCCAAUGGAGCUGGAAGUAAUGACUAUUUAAACAAGAUGUGAGACCCUCAUAUAGACAGAUGUAAUGAUACAUAUGAAGGAGAGGAUUAAAACCGGUAGGCCCACUUACAGGUUAACAUGAUA